Molecule: ribosomal RNA, 850 nt
Filed under: uncultured Oxalobacteraceae bacterium
Lineage: Bacteria; Pseudomonadati; Pseudomonadota; Betaproteobacteria; Burkholderiales; Oxalobacteraceae
Description: bacterial SSU rRNA
Rfam family: Bacterial small subunit ribosomal RNA
Source: RNAcentral
GGCCUAACACAUGCAAGUCGAACGGCAGCGCGGGGCAACCUGGCGGCGAGUGGCGAACGGGUGAGUAAUAUAUCGGAACGUACCCUGGAGUGGGGGAUAACGUAGCGAAAGUUACGCUAAUACCGCAUACGAUCUAAGGAUGAAAGUGGGGGAUCGCAAGACCUCAUGCUCCUGGAGCGGCCGAUAUCUGAUUAGCUAGUUGGUGGGGUAAAGGCCUACCAAGGCAUCGAUCAGUAGCUGGUCUGAGAGGACGACCAGCCACACUGGAACUGAGACACGGUCCAGACUCCUACGGGAGGCAGCAGUGGGGAAUUUUGGACAAUGGGCGAAAGCCUGAUCCAGCAAUGCCGCGUGAGUGAAGAAGGCCUUCGGGUUGUAAAGCUCUUUUGUCAGGGAAGAAACGGUGAGGGCUAAUAUCUCUUGCUAAUGACGGUACCUGAAGAAUAAGCACCGGCUAACUACGUGCCAGCAGCCGCGGUAAUACGUAGGGUGCAAGCGUUAAUCGGAAUUACUGGGCGUAAAGCGUGCGCAGGCGGUUUUGUAAGUCUGUCGUGAAAUCCCCGGGCUCAACCUGGGAAUUGCGAUGGAGACUGCAAGGCUAGAAUCUGGCAGAGGGGGGUAGAAUUCCACGUGUAGCAGUGAAAUGCGUAGAGAUGUGGAGGAACACCGAUGGCGAAGGCAGCCCCCUGGGUCAAGAUUGACGCUCAUGCACGAAAGCGUGGGGAGCAAACAGGAUUAGAUACCCUGGUAGUCCACGCCCUAAACGAUGUCUACUAGUUGUCGGGUUUUAAUUAACUUGGUAACGCAGCUAACGCGUGAAGUAGACCGCCUGGGGAGUACGGUCGCAAGA